This 435-nucleotide ribosomal RNA is filed under the name uncultured bacterium. RNAcentral describes it as "partial 16S ribosomal RNA". It matches the Rfam family "Bacterial small subunit ribosomal RNA", at positions 29 to 507 of the family's 1533-position model. The record is from RNAcentral.
AGCGAACGCUGGCGGCAGGCUUAACACAUGCCAGUCGAACGGGCAUAGCAAUAUGUCAGUGGCAGACGGGUGAGUAACGCGUGGGAACGUACCUUUUGGUUCGGAACAACACAGGGAAACUUGUGCUAAUACCGGAUAAGCCCUUACGGGGAAAGAUUUAUCGCCGAAAGAUCGGCCCGCGUCUGAUUAGCUAGUUGGUAGGGUAAUGGCCUACCAAGGCGACGAUCAGUAGCUGGUCUGAGAGGAUGAUCAGCCACAUUGGGACUGAGACACGGCCCAAACUCCUACGGGAGGCAGCAGUGGGGAAUAUUGGGCAAUGGGCGAAAGCCUGAUCCAGCCAUGCCGCGUGAGUGAUGAAGGCCCUAGGGUUGUAAAGCUCUUUUGUGCGGGAAGAUAAUGACGGUACCGCAAGAAUAAGCCCCGGCUAACUUCGUG